AACGCACAUUGCGCCCUCUGGUAUUCCGGAGGGCAUGCCUGUUCGAGCGUCAUUAUCAACCAUCAAGCUCUGCUUGGAAUUGAGCGUCACCCCCCCUUACCGGGUGGGCGCGCUUUAAACCGGUCGGCGGUGGCUCAGGCCUCUUAAGCGUUAGUAAAUACUUCCCGCUUCUAGAGCCUGCGGUCGCCCGCCUCCAAAACCCAACACCUCAAGGUUGACCUCGGAUCAGGUAGGGAUACCCGCUGAACUUAA
Molecule: unclassified non-coding RNA, 252 nt
Filed under: Inocybe sp.
Lineage: Eukaryota; Fungi; Basidiomycota; Agaricomycetes; Agaricales; Inocybaceae
Description: partial contains 5.8S ribosomal RNA, internal transcribed spacer 2, and large subunit ribosomal RNA
Rfam family: 5.8S ribosomal RNA (bases 1-52)
Source: RNAcentral